Molecule: long non-coding RNA, 1127 nt
Organism: Condylura cristata (star-nosed mole)
Lineage: Eukaryota; Metazoa; Chordata; Mammalia; Eulipotyphla; Talpidae
Exons: 5
Source: RefSeq, a predicted model, not a curated record
CGAUCUAUCAGCAUAAUCCUCACAAGGAGCAUUGCGCUGAUUUCAGACGAGAUGGACAGAAACUGCUGUCUUGGCGCUGCAGAGGAAACAUCCGCAUGUGCUUCGAAGUGGGUGUUCACUCCAUCUGCUCUCCGGGUUGUCUGCACCGCCAGAACAAUGGGGAGCAUGUGCAUGGAGAGCCGGCUGCAAGGUAUCUGUCAAAUUCAGUGAGUUCUCCUGGAAGGCAUUUGUUCCUGAAUUCCUGGGACUGUUGAGGGUUCUAGGGACACACCCAGAAGAUGAUUGCAAGCCAGGAAGAGUUUUCACUGGAAACCCACCUUGAUCUUGGACCUCUGCCUCCAGAACUGGGAAAGCAAGAAUGCCAUCCCCCACUACCACAAAUUACGCAGCCAAGUUUUCCACAUUUGGAGAAAUCACAGGGGCCAGUACAACUGGAUAAGUCUUGCCCUGGGAAAACCACCUUUGUGGUCAUGGUCUCUCCUCUGCCAGGAACUGAAGGGGCCCUUCGCAAGAUGCCCAGCAGGUGAGAGAACUGCCUGCUCCCCAGGCGUGAUAGCUAAGAAGCAGUUAUCGCUCAGCUCUCCAGUCUCCACUCUGAAGCCUGUGAUGCCAGCGAGAGGAUGAAGCCAUACCCAUUCCACAAGCUGACUCCCCUUGAGCUCUACCCAUACAGAGCACUAGAGGUAGAAGGUGACUCCUCCUUCCUCUCUCUGAGUAUGAUAACUCCUGGAGUAUGUUCAGCCUGCACCACCAGUACCUUCUUGGGACAACAGCUGAAUUCAUUUUGCAGCUUUCCCAACAGUGUGCAACUAUUGUCACCUCACAUCGUUCUUUCCCCGCUCCCCAAACAAAGGUACCAGCACUAGGUGAACAAUGCCCUUCCCUGGGGUCUAAGAUUCAACACCAGAGGUCCCUCCCUCAAGAUUCUAAGUGUGAAUAGUUCCAGCCUCUGCCUUUCCCUACCGGCCCAAGGUGGUGACAGUAUUUGUUUAUUUGCAUCCCCAACACUGAUUUAAUCAUCACUUCGUUAUUUUGGUUGCCUGGUUAAUUCCUCAUAUUCAGUUCUCUGUUCAAAUAAAUGAUUGAUGUGGCUCUUCCUCCUGAAUGGACUCUGAUGAAAUAAAUGU